This 497-nucleotide ribosomal RNA is filed under the name uncultured bacterium. RNAcentral describes it as "partial 16S ribosomal RNA". It matches the Rfam family "Bacterial small subunit ribosomal RNA", at positions 28 to 507 of the family's 1533-position model. The record is from RNAcentral.
GAUGAACGCUGGCGGCGUGCCUAAUACAUGCAAGUCGAGCGAACAGACGAGGAGCUUGCUCCUCUGACGUUAGCGGCGGACGGGUGAGUAACACGUGGAUAACCUACCUAUAAGACUGGGAUAACUUCGGGAAACCGGAGCUAAUACCGGAUAACAUGUUGAACCGCAUGGUUCAACAGUGAAAGACGGUCUUGCUGUCACUUAUAGAUGGAUCCGCGCCGCAUUAGCUAGUUGGUAAGGUAACGGCUUACCAAGGCAACGAUGCGUAGCCGACCUGAGAGGGUGAUCGGCCACACUGGAACUGAGACACGGUCCAGACUCCUACGGGAGGCAGCAGUAGGGAAUCUUCCGCAAUGGGCGAAAGCCUGACGGAGCAACGCCGCGUGAGUGAUGAAGGUCUUCGGAUCGUAAAACUCUGUUAUUAGGGAAGAACAAAUGUGUAAGUAACUAUGCACGUCUUGACGGUACCUAAUCAGAAAGCCACGGCUAACUACGUG